RNAcentral lists this unclassified non-coding RNA (309 nucleotides) under Hevea brasiliensis (rubber tree). The record is from RNAcentral. Lineage: Eukaryota; Viridiplantae; Streptophyta; Magnoliopsida; Malpighiales; Euphorbiaceae.
UUGUAAUUCUUCAAUGUGUGGAAGUGAGAAGGAUGAUUUCCCCUCAGCUUUGUAUUAUUGUUGUUUGAGAGAGGUUUUGAGAUUCUUUUCUGGUGUCCCUUAUUGUUUUCUGCUGGUGUUAAUUUGUUUCAAUCGUGUAUACAUUAGCAGGAAGAUUUGGGUUAUCAUAGAGGUGGUCUAUGAUUUGUUUUCUCUUCAUAAUUUCAUUUACGUUACUUGGAAAUGAAAAAGAAAAAGGUGCUCAUCUUUUCAAAGAACAAUAAGUGAGAUGUUCAAAAGAAGAAAAAUAAAAUUAUGAUUUGUUUCAAA